UAAACCUUUAUCCCUUUCUUCUCCAACCUUAAACUUGUUUAGUCUCUCAGUCUCCCAAUCUUUCAAACGAUAAACCCUAAAAACCUCUAAACGCUAAACCUAUAAACCCUUUCUUUUCCAACGUCAAACCCUUCCUUUUCUUCUCCGACGUUAAACCCUUCCUUCUUUAACCCGUCCUUCUCAAACCUUUCCUUCUCAAACAAAGAACAUCACCGAUUUGAAGAAUACCACCGCUACUUCGUUCAUUGGGCUUCAUUGAUUCUGAUACUGCAGUUCUUGAAGACUUAGUGUUCGACGACGAACAACACCAUGACGACGAGCAACAUAACCACCAUCUUCUUGAAGUUGUGAUCUUUGUUCUUCAGAAGUUUGCAAGGGUAGAGCAUUAUUGAAUGCAAUUGGUAAUUUAGAGCUAAUUGGUCUGUAUGCAAAGUGUUUGACCCAGCUUAGUUAUAAACCGGGUAUGUCUAUUACUACUAACUCCUUUUUGAUUUAAUUCAUAUAAACCGUUGGUGUAAAAUAAUUUUACACUAUCACUCAAUCAUAUAAUCCCUCAUUGUAAGGAGUUUCUAAGUAAACUGUGAUUAUUAUGAAGAAGUACAGUAUGUUGAUGCCUCAAAUAGGUUGUGCAGCCAUAGGUGUUUUGGCGUUUACCAUAUUUGGACCUGGAUGGCUUGCCAAGAUUGCUAGUGUUGUAGCUUGUGUUGCCUACAUGAUUUACACCGACUCUGUUCAUCCCCAAGUAUUUUUGCUUCCACGUCAUUUGAUUUUGAAACUAGUAUUUAUCUCCAACAUUGUUAUUAAGCCGACAAAUUUUGCUAUAUCUACAGCCGUAAGCAUGCCCUUGCUUUUCAUUGAUGGUGUUAAGUUGCAACACUUAAUUUUCUGGUAUGUUUUGUAUCCUGAGGUAGCUGGAUGUAUUCUACUAUGUUUCAUUGUAAGCAAUUUAUCUAACUUGUCAUAGUUUUAUUUUCUGCCCGAAAAUGGUUUUUAGUACAUAUGUUAUCACUUGGGUUGGAGGAGAAGGUAUCAAUGUUGUGGCACACGAUGUCCCCAUACCCGGAUAUAAGGUCUUAAUUGUGCCUUGUUUAUUCUGCAGGUUAUUAAUGACAUGUUUGGCAUUUUUUAGGGUCUCAUGACCACUGUCCAUUCCAUCACUAGUGGGUAUAUAGCUAGUGUGUUACUAUUGCAUUUGUUAUUUUAUCUUAGAACUUGGUAAUUCAUUCUUAUCUUGCUGCAAUGCUAAUAACCAUCCACCCAGAAGACUUUUGAGGGACCAUCAAGCAAGGACUGAAGAGGUGGAAGAGCUGCUUCAUUUAACAUAAUUCCCAACAGUACUGGAGUUGCUGCUAAGGCUGUCGGUAAAGUGCUUCAUGCUUUGAAUGGAAAAUUGACCAGUACGUCAUUCUGUGUCCCAACUGUGGAUGUCUCUAUUGUUGACCUUACAGUGAGGCUCGAGAAGGCUGCCACCUAAGUUCAAAUCAAAGUUGCU
Molecule: RNA transcript, 1492 nt
Organism: Vicia villosa (hairy vetch)
Lineage: Eukaryota; Viridiplantae; Streptophyta; Magnoliopsida; Fabales; Fabaceae
Exons: 4
Source: RefSeq, a predicted model, not a curated record